Molecule: ribosomal RNA, 451 nt
Filed under: uncultured bacterium
Lineage: Bacteria
Description: partial 16S ribosomal RNA
Rfam family: Bacterial small subunit ribosomal RNA
Source: RNAcentral
GUGGGGAAUAUUGCGCAAUGGGGGAAACCCUGACGCAGCGACGCCGUGUGAGGGAAGAAGGCUUUCGGGUCGUAAACCUCUGUCAGAAAGGAAGAACCUCCCAAGUCCGAAUAGGGCUUGGGAUUGACGGUACUUUCAAAGGAAGCACCGGCUAACUCCGUGCCAGCAGCCGCGGUAAUACGGAGGGUGCAAGCGUUAAUCGGAAUCACUGGGCGUAAAGCGCGCGUAGGCCGCUUUGUAAGUCGGACGUGAAAGCCCUCGGCUCAACCGGGGAACUGCGUUCGAUACUGCGAGGCUUGAGUCCUGGAGAGGGUGGCGGAAUUCCGGGUGUAGGAGUGAAAUCCGUAGAUAUCUGGAGGAACAUCAGUGGCGAAGGCGGCCACCUGGACCGGUAUUGACGCUGAGGUGCGAAAGCGUGGGGAGCAAACAAGAUUAGAAACCCCUGUAGUCC